ACAAGCUGAGAAACGGCUAGUAGGACUAAGGUCUGCAGCAGGCGCGAAACUUACACAAUGCUAGAUUAUAUAUUAGCGAUGUAGUGAAGAAAAAUAACGAUGUACUUGUAUUUAAACAUACUAGUACAAUUGGAAUGAGACGACUCUAAACCAGUUAGUCGAGUAACAAAUGGAGGGCAAGUCUGGUGCCAGCAGCCGCGGUAAUUCCAGCUCCAUUAGCAUACAUUAAAGUUGUUGCGGUUAAAGAGCUCGUAGUUGAAUUUAGCGCGAGGGUUGGAGUUUUGGGUUCGUUAAGGUUGUGUUCGUAAGUUUCGGCUUCUUACCAGCUGAGCCCUAUAGCUACCGGCACUUCGCUGUUUCGUCACUUAAUCGAGUGCGAAGCUGGGCUAAGCAGACGAUUUGCUUCGGCAUAUCUCUACUCAGCCAUGUUUACCUUGAGAAAAUUAGAGUGCUCACAGCAGGCAGUUGGGGUGUAAAAGCUCCUUUAUGCUUGAAUAAUGUUGCAUGGAAUAAUAGAAUACGGCCUCGGUUCUAUUCUGUUGGUCUUAUAGAACAACAAACAAGUUGGUUAAGGCAUCAAACGGUUAUUGGAAGCAUACGGCAGGCUACUGGUUCUGUAAAAUUGUGUUGUCUUGGACCAAAAAUUCAAGUACCUCAUUUUGUUCUACCAUCAAAGUGACCUCGCUAGCCCCUCUCAACCAGCCAACAACCAACUGAGGCAAUGGUUAAAAGAAAUAGUCGCGGCGGCAUCAGUACUGCAUCGUGAGAG
Molecule: ribosomal RNA, 769 nt
Filed under: Rhyncaphytoptus acutifoliae
Lineage: Eukaryota; Metazoa; Arthropoda; Arachnida; Trombidiformes; Diptilomiopidae
Description: bacterial SSU rRNA
Rfam family: Eukaryotic small subunit ribosomal RNA
Source: RNAcentral